CAGCCGCCGCGGGAAUACGUAGGUGGCAAGCGUUGUCCGGAAUUAUUGGGCGUAAAGGGCUCGCAGGCGGUUUCUUAAGUCUGAUGUGAAAGCCCCCGGCUCAACCGGGGAGGGUCAUUGGAAACUGGGAAACUUGAGUGCAGAAGAGGAGAGUGGAAUUCCACGUGUAGCGGUGAAAUGCGUAGAGAUGUGGAGGAACACCAGUGGCGAAGGCGACUCUCUGGUCUGUAACUGACGCUGAGGAGCGAAAGCGUGGGGAGCGGACAGGAUUAGAUACCCCUGUAGUCCCUGUCUCUUAUAA
Molecule: ribosomal RNA, 301 nt
Filed under: uncultured bacterium
Lineage: Bacteria
Description: partial 16S ribosomal RNA
Rfam family: Bacterial small subunit ribosomal RNA
Source: RNAcentral